RNAcentral lists this ribosomal RNA (497 nucleotides) under uncultured bacterium. RNAcentral describes it as "partial 16S ribosomal RNA". It matches the Rfam family "Bacterial small subunit ribosomal RNA", at positions 28 to 507 of the family's 1533-position model. The record is from RNAcentral.
GACGAACGCUGGCGGCGUGCCUAAUACAUGCAAGUAGAACGCUGAAGCUUGGUGCUUGCACCGAGCGGAUGAGUUGCGAACGGGUGAGUAACGCGUAGGUAACCUGCCUGGUAGCGGGGGAUAACUAUUGGAAACGAUAGCUAAUACCGCAUAAGAGUAGAUGUUGCAUGACAUUUGCUUAAAAGGUGCAAUUGCAUCACUACCAGAUGGACCUGCGUUGUAUUAGCUAGUUGGCGAGGUAACGGCUCACCAAGGCAACGAUACAUAGCCGACCUGAGAGGGUGAUCGGCCACACUGGGACUGAGACACGGCCCAGACUCCUACGGGAGGCAGCAGUAGGGAAUCUUCGGCAAUGGACGGAAGUCUGACCGAGCAACGCCGCGUGAGUGAAGAAGGUUUUCGGAUCGUAAAGCUCUGUUGUAAGAGAAGAACGAGUGUGAGAGUGGAAAGUUCACACUGUGACGGUAUCUUACCAGAAAGGGACGGCUAACUACGUG